This 446-nucleotide ribosomal RNA is filed under the name uncultured bacterium. RNAcentral describes it as "partial 16S ribosomal RNA". It matches the Rfam family "Bacterial small subunit ribosomal RNA", at positions 338 to 795 of the family's 1533-position model. The record is from RNAcentral.
CCUACGGGAGGCAGCAGUCGAGAAUCAUUCACAAUGGGGGAAACCCUGAUGGUGCGACGCCGCGUGGGGGAAUGAAGGUCUUCGGAUUUUAAACCCCUGUCAUGUGGGAGCAAAUUAAAAAGAUAGUACCACAAGAGGACGAGACGGCUAACUCUGUGCCAGCAGCCGCGGUAAUACAGAGGUCUCAAGCGUUGUUCGGAAUCACUGGUCGUAAAGCGUGCUUAGGCUGUUUCGUAAGUCGUGUGUGAAAGGCGCGGGCUCAACCCGCGGACGGCACAUGAUACUGCGAGACUAGAGUAAUGGAGGGGGAACCGGAAUUCUCGGUGUAGCAGUGAAAUGCGUAGAUAUCGAGAGGAACACUCGUGGCGAAGGCGGGUUCCUGGACAUUAACUGACGCUGAGGCACGAAGGCCAGGGGAGCGAAAGGGAUUAGAUACCCUUGUAGUC